This 1320-nucleotide ribosomal RNA is filed under the name Laminaria hyperborea. Its description in RNAcentral is "LSU rRNA". It matches the Rfam family "Eukaryotic large subunit ribosomal RNA", at positions 57 to 1417 of the family's 3401-position model. Lineage: Eukaryota; Phaeophyceae; Laminariales; Laminariaceae. The record is from RNAcentral.
AAAAGAAACUAACCAGGAUUCCCCCAGUAACGGCGAGUGAAGCGGGAAGAGCUCACGUUGUAAAUCUGCCUUCGGGCCGAAUUGUAGUCUGGAGAGGCGAGACCAGCCGUGGCCGGGGGCGAAGUCUCUUGGAAAAGAGCAUCAAGGAGGGUGACAAUCCCGUUCUUGCCCCCACGCCGCGCGCGUACGGUCCGUUUUCUAAGAGUCGAGUUGCUUGGGAUUGCAGCUCAAAGCGGGUGGUAAAUUCCAUCUAAAGCUAAACACGGGUGGGAGACCGAUAGCGAACAAGUACCGUGAGGGAAAGAUGCAAAGAACUUUGAAAAGAGAGUUAAAGAGUGCCUGAAAUUGCUGAAAGGGAAGCGAAGGAAACCAGUGUCUGGCGUCGAAGCUUUCCCUCCGCCCUUCGGGGCUCUGGGUCGCGUCUUCGCCGUGGCCAGGGUCGGGUAUGGUUGCGGGAGCCUGCGUCGUGGAAGGUAGCUUCUCCUCGGAGGGUGAAUACCGCGGCGUGUCGUCGCGACUGUGGCCGGCUCUGACGAAAUGGUUUUCUUUACCCCGUCUUGAAACACGGACCAAGGAGUCUAACAUGCCCGCGAGUACAGGGGUGUUCAAACCCCCGUGCGCAGUGAAAGUGAAUGCAGGUGGGAAGCCGCAAGGUGGCACCAUCGACCGACCAUGUCCCUCCGGGGGCGAGGUUUGAGUGUGAGCGUGCAUGUUGGGACCCGAAAGAUGGUGAACUAUGCCUGAAUAGGGCGAAGCCAGGGGAAACUCUGGUGGAGGCUCGUAGCGAUUCUGACGUGCAAAUCGAUCGUGAGAUUUGGGUAUAGGGGCGAAAGACUAAUCGAACCAUCUAGUAGCUGGUUCCCUCCGAAAUUUCCCUCAGGAUAGCUGCAACCUGCGUUCAGUUUUAUCAGGUAAAGCGAAUGAUUAGAGGCUGCGGGGAAGCAACUUCCUCGCCCUAUUCUCAAACUUUAAAUGGGUAAGAGACCGGGGUCGCUUAAUUGGACCCUGUGUUGGAAUGAAGGUUGCUAGUGGGCCAGUCCGGGUAAGCUGGACUGGCGAUGCGGGAUGAACCGAACGCCUAGUUAAAGCGCCAAACUGCCCGCUCACCUAGAUCCCACAAAAGGUGUUGGUUCAUUCAGACAGCAGGACGGUGGCCAUGGAAGUCGGAAUCCGCUAAGGAGUGUGUAACAACUCACCUGCCGAAUGAACUAGCCCUGAAAAUGGAUGGCGCUGAAGCGAGCGGCUUAUACUAGGCCAUUGGGGAGAGUGCGUUUCCCCAAUGAGUAGGAGGGCGCGGGGCUCGUAGCGCAUCUUCGGCCG